This 460-nucleotide ribosomal RNA is filed under the name uncultured bacterium. RNAcentral describes it as "partial 16S ribosomal RNA". It matches the Rfam family "Bacterial small subunit ribosomal RNA", at positions 338 to 795 of the family's 1533-position model. The record is from RNAcentral.
CCUACGGGGGGCAGCAGUGAGGAAUAUUGGUCAAUGGGCGGAAGCCUGAACCAGCCAAGUAGCGUGCAGGAUGACGGCCCUACGGGUUGUAAACUGCUUUUAUACGGGAAUAACGCGCCUUACGUGUAGGUCUUUUCAUGUACCGUAUGAAUAAGGACCGGCUCAUUCCGUGCCAGCAGCCGCGGUAAUACGGAAGGUCCGGGCGUUAUCCGGAUUUAUUGGGUUUAAAGGGAGCGUAGGCCGGCUGUCAAGCGUGCUGUGAAAAGUUCGGGCUCAACCCGGGCCUUGCAGCGCGAACUGGCGGGCUUGAGUGCGCAGAGAGCAGGCGGAAUUCGUGGUGUAGCGGUGAAAUGCUUAGAUAUGACGAAGAACCCCGAUUGCGAAGGCAGGUGGCUGCAGCGGAACUGACGCUGAUGCUCGAAAGCGCGGGUAUCGAACAGGAGUAGAUACCCGUGUAGUC